GAUGAACGCUGGCGGCGUGCCUAAUACAUGCAAGUCGAGCGAACGGACGAGAAGCUUGCUUCUCUGAUGUUAGCGGCGGACGGGUGAGUAACACGUGGAUAACCUACCUAUAAGACUGGGAUAACUUCGGGAAACCGGAGCUAAUACCGGAUAAUAUUUUGAACCGCAUGGUUCAAAAGUGAAAGACGGUCUUGCUGUCACUUAUAGAUGGAUCCGCGCUGCAUUAGCUAGUUGGUAAGGUAACGGCUUACCAAGGCAACGAUGCAUAGCCGACCUGAGAGGGUGAUCGGCCACACUGGAACUGAGACACGGUCCAGACUCCUACGGGAGGCAGCAGUAGGGAAUCUUCCGCAAUGGGCGAAAGCCUGACGGAGCAACGCCGCGUGAGUGAAGAAGGUCUUCGGAUCGUAAAACUCUGUUAUUAGGGAAGAACAGAUGUGUAAGUAACCGUGCACGUCUUGACGGUACCUAAUCAGAAAGCCACGGCUAACUACGUG
Molecule: ribosomal RNA, 497 nt
Filed under: uncultured bacterium
Lineage: Bacteria
Description: partial 16S ribosomal RNA
Rfam family: Bacterial small subunit ribosomal RNA
Source: RNAcentral